This 328-nucleotide unclassified non-coding RNA is filed under the name Hevea brasiliensis (rubber tree). The record is from RNAcentral. Lineage: Eukaryota; Viridiplantae; Streptophyta; Magnoliopsida; Malpighiales; Euphorbiaceae.
UGUUUCCUUGCCUUCUUUUCUUCUUUGGCUUGCUGGUCCGGCUCUGCGGCCGGUUCCGCUUGUUUUGUCUAGUUGGCCUGAUUAUCUCCGGCCAACGCAUCGCACACCGCCUUGGUGACGUCGGCGGUUCUUGCCUUUCCGCCGAGGUCCGGCGUGUGCAGCGAUUUGUCCGCGGUCACUUUUUCGAUGGCCCGCAUCAGCCGCGCCGCGGCGGAGGGUUCGCCGAGAUGCUCCAGCAUCAUGACGCUGGACCAGAAUGUGCCGAUCGGAUUCGCGAUCCCUUUGCCGAUGAUGUCGAAGGCCGAGCCAUGGAUCGGCUCCCACAACG